UUUUUUUUUUUUUUUCGUUUAGUGUUUUGUGUCUGUAUUGGAGCUCUGAUUGAAUUCGAUGCAUAUGGUAGAACUCAUUUAAGGGUAGCGCUCCCAAUAUGAUUUUCUUCAUAUUCAAGAUUCGAAUCAAAAGGCGCUGCACCUUAUAUUACAUAUAAGGAAAUUAUUACCUUAUAUAUACAAAUGAUCAAGUUGGACGAAUUAAUCCUUUUAUCUCAUUGGUAAAGUGAAACUAUAUACUAUAUAUAUGUUUGUGAAAAAGAAUAUUCAUUUAUAAUGAUCAAACUAAAUUGUGGUCCACUGGUUGUUGAAGUUUAAAUUAUUUUCAGUGCUCCCUAUGCCACAGCAAAUAAUAUUCAUGAGAUCAUUUCAUGUGUAUAAAUAAUUUCUUACUAUGUCAAUUAUUACAAAUAUAUAAAUUAUAAUAAUGAAUGAUCAAUUUGCUACUUUUUCAUUUCAUGCACCAUCCGUUUGGUCUUAGUUUCUUAUGUUAAUACUUCACUUUGUAUAUUGUAAAUAUCACUAUAUGCAAAGUAAAAAUAGAAUUGAUCCGCAUGUUUCUCUAAUAUUUCAAUUGAAAAUGUUAGCUUUUGUCGAUGAGAUCGAGGUAUUACUAUCAGUAGGGGCUCGCUUCAAUAGUGGACUUUGAACCUUUGCUUUUCCUUUCAAUUUCCAAUUUCGAAUAUCACGAUUUGCCUAGAAUAAUCGAUAUAUGUGAUUGCAAUUUAAAAGAAAAACUAAUAAAUAAAAAAACACUAGAUGAGUUUACGUACGUCUAUGUAUUUUUUUAGUCGUCUCAUUUCACAUACAAAAACAUUUAGAUCACUUAUUUUGGAUAUUAUACUAGUGUAUCUUUACCGUUUUUUAAUUCCUAUUUCAAAAUUAUCACAUUUAUUUUAUUUGGUGAUUCGAACCCACAAUUCUUAGAUUGAAGAUUGAUGAUUUUUACCAUUCGAACAAUUUCUUGUCAAAUGUAUAUUGAUGUUCUUUGUGGAGACAUAAAUGAUGCAAAAAAUCAAACCAUGAGUUGAAGCCUAGAUUUAAUAGUACGAUUUGUGUACUAUAUGUUAUAAGGCAAUGUCAUAAUUCAAGGAAAAUGAGGACUAUUUGCGUCAUGAUGUUUGAUUCAAAAUGAUGAGAUUUUCCACAUAUUUUAUUGCUCUCAAUGUAAGAAUUUCAUUAUUAGAAUUAAAAAUAAUUACAACUAAUACUUUUAGGUAAGAGUUAGAAAUUUAUAUUUGAAUUAUAUAUUAAAUAAAAACUUAACUUUUUGAAUAACUUGAUUAUUUUAAAAUAAAAAAUAAAUUGUUGAAUAUCAUACAACAGUGUGUUGCCUAAGUUAUGUUGGAAAACAGUUGUAAAAUUACUUAGUAUCACAUGAGGGGUGUUUGAUUCGAAUACAAGUUAUAUUGUAAUUAGUUAUUUUAAUAAUUUUUUUUUAUAAUAAAUGAUUUGUUAUAUUAAAAAUAACAUGCAAUGCAUUGUUGAAGGAAGCUUGAAGACUGAUGGAACAUGUCGAAGUAACAGGUCCAUCGAAGCAGGCUGAUGAGUUAGAGUUAGAGUCAUACUAGGACUAGACUACUAAAUCCUAAGUUAUGUACGACUAAGCUACUGAAUAUUGUAGGAGUCGACUAGGAUAAAGUAUUUGACUUGUAAUACAAUACUACUCAUGUAAUUAAUUGUGUUGUAGUAGGAUUCCUAGUAUAACUAGAAUAAGACUCUUCUCCUAUAUAAGGAGCUUGUAACUCAACAUUAUAAUCAUCAAUACAAUCCUUGAUUUCUCCAUACUUACGGGAGAAUUCUACAUGGUAUCAGAGCAAUGAAACUUUUCCGCUCUUUAAUGUAUUAGAUCAAAAUAAAAAACAUCCAAAUUAUCAAACCGCGAUGGCCCCUUCUACCAACACCCUUUCGACCUCUUCACUUCAUCAUCUUCUUUCGUCCUGCUCCAUUAAACUUAAGCCAACAAACUAUCUUAUGUGGAGGACACAAAUGACUCAGUUGAUUCAAGUGAUGAGAUUAACCUACCUCAUCACAGAACCACCUAAAGUGACCUAUUCCACUGGACAGAUUACUGAGAAAAUUGUAGCAGGCGAGAAGGGUGCAAAAGACAACAACAUUGUUGAUGACUGGGAGGAGAAGGAUGUGUUACUAAGGAGCUAGAUCGCAGGCACAUUGACAAAAGAAAGAAUGUACCUGAUCGUAGGUUGUUCAACUGCCAAAGAGAUGUGGGAAUGCUUGGAAGAAGCUUAUCUUCAAGCAACAAAAGAUAAGGAGUUCCAGCUCAAGCAACAACUGCAAAGUGUGAAGCUAGGAACCAAAACAAUUGAUGAAUACAUUAAGGAAUUCAAAGGCAUAUGUGAUGGCCUUGCAUCCAUUCAUAAGCCUGUAGGUGAAGAUAGCAAAUUGAUUAAUUUUGCUUGAGGUCUAGGUCCUAAGUACAAGACCUUCAGGACUGUCAUGCUAGGUAAGGCACCAUAUCCUACUCUUAAUCAAUUUGUUAAUGCUCUCAAGGAUUUUUUAUAUGAGGGAGGAUGAAGAAGACGUGCCACAACAAAACCAUAGCAUGGCAUUAUCUGCCCAAAGGGGCAGGGGAAGAGGAAACUACUCUCAAAGAAGAGGAAACAAUAACUUCAAUUCCAGAGGAAGAGGCUUCAAGCCUGUUGGACAAGGAAUAUGUUCUUAUAACAGCAGAAACAGACCAGGUCCUCAGAACAGUCCUUCAAGUGGAAGUCAUGAGGGGAACAAUUCUGAUGCGUGUAAAAUUUGUGGUAGGAAUAACCAUACUGCUCUUAAGUGUUUUUACAAGCGGGAUUACUCUUACCAAGCCACAGAUGAGCUACCAUAGGCAUUGGCUGCUACUAAUCUACAAAACACUACUGAUGACACCUUAUAUGUGGACUCAGGAGCAAGUAGCCAUAUGACACAUAACUUAGGUAUCCUAACUGAUCUUAAACACUACAAUGGACCAGAUCAAAUAAUUGUUGGAAAUGGAUCAAAGUUAGACAUAACACAUGUUGAGAACAAAUCUGAAACAGGUCUAAAAUUAAAAGAAGUUCUUGUAGUUCCUAAGAUCAAUAAAAUUUUCUCUUAGUUAGUAAGCUUGCAAAGGAUAAUUGUUGUACUCUUGAAUUUGAUGAAACUAACUUUGUUGUAAAGGACAAGAGGAGAAGGACACUGCUGGCCAAAGGAUCUAAAAGGAAUGGACUCUAUGCUUUGAAAGAUAACAAUCUCUAUGUUUUAACUGCUGCACACGAUUGGAACACGUCAAACAACAUGUGGCAUACUAGAUUAGGACACCCUAGUUUGAAGUCUUUAAAAGUUUUGAGUAGUAAUAGUUGCAUCAGUAUUAGUAGUUGGAAUAAAAUGUCUAUUGUUUGUUCUAGUUGUCAGUUGGGAAAGAGUUGUAAACUUCCUUUUGGUUUGAGAAAUUUUUUUGAGAAAGAGCCUUUAUUGAAAAUUCAUUGUGACUUAUGGGGACCUGCUCCUGUCGAAUCUUCCUAACAUAUGAAAUAUUAUGUCGUUUUUGUUGAUGAUCACACAAGAUAUACAUGGAUUUAUCCACUGAAAAAGAAAUCUAAAUUCUUUGAGGUCUUUCUAAAAUUUCAGACAAAGGUGGUAAAACAAUUUUCUAAAGAGAUUAAGAUUUUUCAGUGUGAUGGAGGUGGUGAGUUUAUCCAAACAGACUUCAUUAAGCAGUUGGAAGAUUAUGGCAUUGUGAGACAUAUUUCAUGUCCUAACACACCUGAACAAAAUGGAGUUGCAGAUAGAAAACAUAGACAUAUUGUGGAGACUGGCUUAACUCUACUACUAAACUAACCUACCUUUGUUUCUAUAGGUUGAGGCUUUCGUCACUGCAGUAUUCCUUAUCAAUAGACUGCCUUCAUCAGUCCUAAAGAUGGUGACUUAAUUUGUUAAGUUGUAAGGGGAACAACCUAAUUACAGUAGCCUAAAAAUGUUUAGGUGUAGAUGUUUUUAUAUAUCAAGGGUAGCAAUAAGUUCAGUCCAAAGACCUACCCUUGUGUGUUCAUAGGGUACAACAACUUACACAAAGGACAUAGAUGCUAUCAUCCCUCUACAAGGAGAGUUUACAUAUCCAGACAUAUUGUGUUUGAUGAAAACACAUUACCCUAUGUGUCUCCAAAGCAAUCUCAUAUUAACAUUGAUGUCUCACCUCACCUUGCUACUUUUGUUGAAUCUUUCUCUAAACUGCUAGCACAAGAUAAUCUGAUUCAGGGGAAGUACAAGUUGCUAGUCCAUACAUUAAUAGUGAUAAUGCUGCUACAACUCAUAUACUCCUUAGUGAUGUGAGUACUAUUGACCUCUCAGGCGCAGGAUCAAAUGCUGAGGAACAGGUUGAAGGUGAUGAUCCAUACAGUAGUAUUGAAACUCCAGCUAAAGAUUUUGAAUCUGCCAGUAAUAGUGAGGAACAAGUUGCUCUUACAGGUCCAACCAAUGAUCAUCAUCCAACAACCACUUUAGUUGAUGUACCAGUUGAUCAUCAACCUGACAAUGCUACACUCUAGUCAACUACCUUGAUUGAUGUACCAGUUAAGGUACUCCAUGCACCACAAGGGCAUCAUAUGAUCACCAGGCACAAGGCGAAGGAACAUCACUUGUCACUUGUUGCUCGCAGCAGCACAAUAAUUGUGAGAGAACCAAAUACUACUAAGGAAGCACUAAGAUCACCUCAGUGGCUUGCAACAAUGCAUGAAGAAAUUGAUGUUUUACAUACUAACAAGACAUGGGUUUUGGUGCCCAAAUCUCCUGGUAUUAACUUGGUUGGCUCAAAAUGGGUGUUCAAGACAAAAUUAAAAGAUGAUGGGACAGUAGAUAGAUACAAGGCCAGACUUGUGGCAAGGGGAUUCUCGCAAUUUGAAGAGAUAGAUUUUGAAGAAACAUUUAGUCUUGUGGUUAAAGUUACAACUAUUGGUGUCACUCCCCAAACUCGAGGGGCGCAACUGGCUCCUAAUGCCAAAACUUAGGCCCGAGCCGACCCCGCUGAACCAUUUGCUACUAGCGCAUGGCAAUCAUACACAAUCAAGAAAACAAACAAAUAUAUCUCGGCUUAAAACUAACCCUCGGCCGGCAAGGCCCCUGUCAACUAAUCUAUAAAAGAAACAGCUACUCCUAGGAGAUCAUAUUAAUAAAUAGUCAACUAGCACAGAAGUCCUGAUUGGACCGUCGAGGCCACCAUGAUAUCUAUACCAAAACAAAAGGCAGGUAUAUAUCAAUACAAUACAUCAAACAACUCACAAGCUUCAGCAAACCAAUAACAUAGGCCAGUAUGGCCAUAACAUAGCUAUACACCCCACACACUAGUCUACAAGCCUAUAAGAGUAGUCAAGAUUAGCGGGACAGGGCCCCAGCCUACCCAUAAAUAUAUAUACAAUAAAAGGUAAUAAACCUCCCAACUCUGGCAGCUCAGGAGGAAAGGGGCUAGCCAACCGGAUAAAAGUCAAUCCUGCUGCUGAGGAGGUCUACUCGGUCGUCUGUCAGGACCUGCAUGCAUGAAUGCAGCGCCCCCAGGCAAUGGGCCGUCAGUACGAAAUAAUGUACAGAGUAUGAAAGACAAUAGACUGUGUGGAGGUAUCCUGAUAUACUGGAAUAAUAUGAUAAAUAAAUCAAGGAUAAGAUAAGUGUACUGACCUGCUCCUAAAUCUAAACUUAUCAAAAAUAAUAAAACAACAACCUAACCAAGCCCCCAUAAGCUUGGCAGGUACACACAGUACACAAAUCCACCUACUCAGACCCCCAUAAGCCCGGAGGGUGCUAAUCAGCCUAUGUACCCCUAUCGGUAGUCCCCUAACCCUGUAGGCAGUCACAUAGCCUUCUUAGGCAUUAAUAUAUCCCCGUAGCUAACACAUAACUCUCUUAGGUAUCAACAUAGCUUAUAGACAACUCAUAUCCCUCUUAGGCAACAACAUGGCCCUGUAGGAAGCACAUAGCCUUCUUAGGCGUCAAUAUAUCCCUGUAGGCAACUCAUAGCCUUUCUAGGUAUCAAUAUAGCUUAUAAACAACUCAUAGCCCUGUAGGAAACACAUAGCCUUUUUAGGCGUCAAUAUAGCCCUGUAGGCAACUCAUAGCCCUUCUAAGCAUCAAUAUAGCCCCGUAGGCAACUUAUAGCUCUUUUAGGCAUCCAUAUAGCCUUGUAGGCCGAACAUAGCCCUUCUAGGCAUAAAUCACAUUCUUGCAGCUAACCACAAUAGCCCCAAGGGCAACAAUAACAAUCCAAUCGCUAAAUGUGAGCAAUUUAGUUAUAAGCAACCUAUACAAAUAGCCUCUAAGUCGUGUCCAACAUAGGGACGCUACUAACUGAAUAAGAAUCUCGACAAGGGAGGAUUAUAUCAACUCGAGCAGCCAACAAUCAACAAUAAUGACUACAAGUGUAACAAAGACAACAACCCAAUUACAUUGCUCCUCAGCUUUAAGGAAACAUGUUGUAAGUAGGGAAUAGCCUUAACAUACCUUUCCAAUGAACGCUCGAAAGACCGUAGUUCCUUCACGAAAGUUGUUCCUUAUGUCCUAAGCUUCACAAUCAUUAUAUAUACACAACUGAAAUGCACCUAUAAACAAUUCAUAAUUAAUCUUAAAUCGACAGAUUUGCCAUAUUUCCCCAACUUGUCAAAACGUCCGUAGAAAUUCAUAAAAACAACCAUAAAAGGGUUCCGAGAUGAUUACCUUAGUUAACCAAGUGUAAACCUUGAAGAAACACCAAUAACUACAAAUUUAUAUCUUCAAAAACUAGCUCCAAACGCAGCUAAUAGGAGGGGAAAAUGAUUUCCACGUGUAGAGACCGCGUUUCUAGGCACGGGGGCAACCUUUAAUGGUAGAAAUCGUCAAAAACCAACCUUCAUCAUGCAAGAACUCCAUAGGAACCAUCUCUUAAGCUUUCUUUCUAGUUUGGAAGUGAAAAUAAAUGUUUUCAUGGCUUAAAACGUUGAGUAAGCCGACAUACCACAUUUUUGACCCGACCCAAAUUCUGCCCCGGCAGUCCGUAGUAGAACCCUCAUAACUUUUUACUCCAAUGUCGGUUGGAUACGGAAUUUUGUGCGUUGCAAACUAGACUCGUAAGCCUUUGAUUUAAUGGGUGAUAGGACUUAUAACUCUUUAUAUAUUGGGAGAAAAUAUCCAAGACAUUGGACCCAAAUUUUAGAGAAAUCUUUAAAAAUAAACUUACGAUUACUUUCGCCAACAUUUAUUUUGCCACUUACCUAACUUCAAUAAUUGAGAUACAACCCUUGAACACUUAAAAUCUGACAUACCACAUCAUUCUUAAUUUAUUACUUACCCUCCUUGUCUUUCCACGACGAUACGAGUUAAUUUAGAAGUUUUGAAAAGUCGGGGUGUUACAAUUAAGGUGGUUCUAUCCAUUGUUGUCAGUUCAAGGUGGGAAGUUAGACAACUAGAUGUCAAAAAUGUCUUUAUCCAUGGCUUCCUACAAGAGGAGGUGUACAUGAGUCAACCUCCUGGUUUUAUUGAUCCCUAGUAUCCUCAACAUGUGUGUCUACUUAAAAAGGCAUUGUAUGAUCUUUAACAAACACCAAGAUCCUGGUUUGAUAGGCUUAGCAUGCAUCUCUUGCACUUUGGUUUCAUUUGUAAUAAGGCUGACCCUUUUUUACUUUGCAAACUCACAAAGGCAAAAUAUUUCUCUUGUUAUAUGUGGAUGAUAUUAUUGUCACAUGAAGUAAUCCAUCUCAUGUCUCAGAGUUAGUUCUACAACUUGGGAAGGAGUUUGCUAUGAAAGAUCUUGGCUCUUUACACUUCUUUAUAGGAAUUGAGGUGAAGUAUUUCGAAGGUGGAAUUCACUUAAAUCAAAGCAAGUAUGUUGCUGAGCUGCUGGCCAAAACAAAGAUGACUUUGGCAAAGGCUGUAGCCACUCCUUUGGCUCAAAAACAUGGUUUGCAUGAAGCUGUGAGAAGUCUUGUAGAUGCAUCCUUGUACAAAAUGAUAGUAGGGAGCAUUCAAUAUUUGACCCUCACAAGACCUGAUAUCACUCAUGCAUCUAGCAAGCCAGUUUAUGUAAAGCCCAAACAUUGAACAUUUUCGAGGGGUAAAAAGGAUUCUCAGGUAUAUCAAAGGUACUCUACACUUUGGACUCAGAAUUAUUUCACAAUCACUAUGUAAGUUGUAUGGCUACUCAAAUGCUGAUUGGGGAGGUUGUACCACAACUAGGAGAUCAACUACAGGCUAUAACAUCUACCUAGGUGCAAAUUGUAUUUCUUGGACCUCCAAGAAAUAGACCACAAUAGCCCGAUCGAGUGAUGAAGCUGAGUAUAGAGCACUAGCCUCCACUGCCGCAGAAAUGACUUGAAUUUUGUAUCUUCUUCUUGACCUUAGAGUGUUCCUUUGAUCUGUUCCUAUGUUGUAUUGUGAUAAUAUGAGUGUCUUGUACAUGACAGUUAAUCCAGUAUGCAUGCUAGAACCAAACAUGUUGAAAUAGACUAUUAUUUUGUUUGUGAGAAAGUGGUCAGGGGACAACUUCUUACUCAGUUUGUGAAGUCUAAGGAUCAGCUAGCUGAUAUUCAUACCAAAGCCUUAACAAAAUAGGUUUUCUUUAGUUUUCGCAGUAGGCUAAGAUUUACGGUUCCUCCACUCACUAGCUUGAGGGGAAGUGUUGAAGGAAGCUUGAAGACUGAUGGAACAUGUCGAAGGAACAGGUCCAUUGAAGCAGGCUGACGAGUUAGAGUUAGAGUCAUACUAGGACUAGACUACUAAAUCCUAAGUUAUGUACGACUAAUCUACUGAAUAUUGUAGGAGUUGACUAGGAUAAGGUAUUUGACUUGUAAUACAAUACUACUCAUGUAAUUAAUUGUGUUGUAGUAGGAUUUCUAGUAUAACUAGAAUAGGACUCUUCUCCUAUAUAAGGAGCUUGUAAAUCAACAUUAUAAUCAUCAAUACAAUCCUUGAUUUCUCCAUACUUACGUGAGAAUUCUACAUGCAUAAUUUCUAUGAGUAGGUUAUUUGUUAAUAAAAAUAUCAUCCACUUUAUUAUUAGAAAAAUGAUUUGAGAGAUCUUAAUGGUAUUUUUGUCAUUUUCGUUAUAUUGUGAAAUACUCACUACUAAUUUAGGCUAUUUUCAUGGUUGUUUUGAUUGAAUAUGUCGUGAAAAAAAUAAAAAUAAAAUAAUAAGUAAUGUUUUUAAAUGGAAAAAUUAUGACGAUUUUCACUAUUUUAAUUGGAAACUGUUUUCCAUCGUGCAUUUCUUCACUGAGUUGUGGAAAAUAAGUGGAAACAUCUAUAACAUCACGAUGAAAAAAAUCGAUAUAAUUACUUGUAGUGACUAUUAUUCCACUUUUAAUUAACUAGAGUAACUUAUCUCAAUACAAUUAUUAGUCUUAAUAUAACUUAUCCCAAAACUAAUGAUCAAAUAAAGAAUGCAAAAGUAUUAAAAUUUUAUUUCAAAACUAUUUAAUAUAAAUAUAGUUAGUCCAUCAUAUCAAAAUAUAUAUACAACUUGUCCAACAUAUCAAACGAUCCUAAAACCAUAUUUAAAUUGACUUAUAGCUUUCAACUUUUAACUUAUAAGUCAAAAGUCCUAAGUUUGAUUUAAACACUGCAGUUUGCAAAGAGGAAAUAUUCUCUACAAGAAACAUUAGACAAAUUAUAAAUUGGGGUGAAUUAAUUUUUCAAUAUUCACUUUUCUCAUCUUCGACUUAAAAAAGAAAAAAAAUAUAGUUGUUACAAAAUUUUAAAGAACAGUAAUGGUUUCUUUCACAUUUGUGAAGAUCCCAAUGCUAUAAUAUUUAACUUAAUCUAAUUAAAAUAGUUAAAUUAUCCUCUAUAGGAAAAAUAAAAAAUAAAAAAUUUAAAAAUAAAAAUUAUAAACUCUAAAAAAAUGAAGGGCACGAGGGGUCAGUAGCAUAUCCAAGGUAAUUUGGAUUUUUUGUAUCAGAAAAGUAUUCAGAUGACUCAAAUGUCCCUUUUAUGCCCGACAAAAAUAAUAUUAAUUUAAUGAAAUAUAUAAGUAAGUAGUACUAUAUAAUAUCAGAUUUAACAUGAAAAAAUUAAUAUAAAAUUUCUGUCAAAAUCCCAGUAUUUUAUUGAGUCGUGGUUUAUCACACCUAACGAAAAAUUCUAUGUCAGUAAAAAAUAGAAAAGAAAAAAACAAAUUCUUGUUUUUAUUCAUUGGCUAGUACAGCCCCUUGUUGAAAAUUGAAAACUACAAGAGAGAAACACAAAAAAAAAAAUAUAAUUAAUUUUCUGCUUCUUAUUUAAUAUCCAAAUUUAAGACAGCUGAAAAAAUUGCUUGUAUCAUAAAUACGUCUGUCUUCUCACAAUCAAAGUUAUUUUCCUUUUUACUCUUUAGGUUAAACAAUCUACCUUUAAAAACAUUUACUGCUUAUAUACUAUGUAAUUUUGUAGUGGUAUAGAGACUUAAAAGACGGUUAAUAUGAGCUGAUCCAUUGGUCUACCCAACUUAAUCCGUGAUUUAAUAGUGGGAGAUAAUUUUUCGAAGUCCAUUUAAAAAGAGCAAAUUUCCUAAAGCACGCUAGCAUAAGUGUUAAUUACUCAAUAAAGCAUUAAUUUCAAAAAAUUACAUAUUUCGUUCGAGUUUUGGUUUGGAUUCAUUGUAUUCGAAGUGUGAUUUGCAUGUGUCUGAGAUACAUUGUCUCUCUCGCUCACCUUUCUCUGACUCUCAUUCUAUCCUUUUUUGUAUUUGUAUUUUACAAUGUAUUUAUGUUUCGCAAUUUCAUGUAUCUGUAUAUCUAGAAUUAUUUUUCUAUGAGUGUAUCCAAUAUAAUAUGAAAGGAUGUAACUAUAUAUGCAUAAGCUUGUAUCACUAUGAUUGUAUUUGUAUAUCGAAUAUCAAUUUUAAAAGUAUGUAUUUGUCUAUAUAUGCAUAAGCUUGUAUCAAUUUCUACGAGUAUAUCUGAUUAUCCAAUAUCAAUUUACAUGCAUCCAAUAACAAUUUCAUCUAGUAUAUUCAAUAUCAAUUUGAUAUGUCCAAUGCAUAAAUAUAUGUAUCUUGUAUCAAAUAUGUACUCAGACAUUCAACAAAUAAGACGUUUUGAAUAUACACUGAUAUAUUAAGUGUAUCUAUGCGUGGAUACAUCUAGAAAAACAUUAAAUAUUCAAGUUUUAUGGUAAUCCAUUUCCUUCAUGAAGAUUUGAUUCAUGCAUUGGUCAUAAUUGUUUGUUUUUGUUGGAUACUACUCCCUCCGUCCCAUUUUAUAUGUCACCUUUUUACUUUGCACUUGCAUUAAGAAAUGAUGUAACUUUACCUUUCUACCCUUAUUUAAUUUUUUUGGAACUCAAGUUUUCAAUCAAUGAAUAUGAAUUAAUUUAUUUUGAUUAAUUAAUUUAACCAAUGAACAUGAAUCAUUUACUUAUCUUUUCUAAGUUGGUCAAAUGUAUAUUUUCAAGGCGAAUAACUCACAAGGGUAAAAAAGGAACAAUAUGGUAAUUUAUGCAUUGAUUUUAUGAAAUGACAAGUAUUAUGAACCAACUAUUUAUAGAAAGGGAUGACAUAUAAAAUGGGACGGAGGGACAAUUACUGUAUAUAUUGGAGAUUCUAAAAGGGGAUGACUAGUCCAAUUAAGGGAAAAUUAUAUGAAAUAGCAAACUAUUAAUUCAAAUUAAAUGAUAUAGCUAUAGUUUAUUUUAAUUGUAAUUCGCAGCAAACAUUCCCUUUUUUUUGCCAUCUGAUUCGGUAUACAUUUAGCCAUUUUCGGUAUACAAUUUAGCCAUUUUAUACAUUUCGGUAUAAAAUGCAUUUGUGUUUGUAUAAAAUGAGUAGAAAAGUGUAUAUACAAAUAUAAAUACAUAUAUUUCCGUCCUAUACACUUAUAAUUAUACAAAUACAGAUCUUAUUACACAAAUUACAAUAUGUAUAAAUGAAUUUAUACAAAACUGAACAAUUUGUAUAAAAUUGGAUGUUUUUAGCGAAUUAUAUAAAUCAAAAGCUUCAUAGCAAACAUAAAAUUUGCUAUGGAGCGCAAUUAUACAAACUAUAGCUAUAACAUACAAAUAUGAUUUUUAUGUUUGUUUUAUGUGAAAGUUGCUCUCCAAUUAAUCCCUUAAUUCUUCCUUGUAUGCCCAAGCCCAAUCCCAAGAGUCAAGACCAAGACUAAGCCCAAGUAGUAGAUUGUCUAUUUUGUAUUCUUAGAUGCAUACUCAAACUACUAUAUCGAUUUGGGAUAAAUUUGGGCAGCGUAUAAUAAAAAGAAAUUAUUCAAAAUUUUAUCUUGAAUGAUAUUAUUUAAAAUUAUAUCCUAGACCAAGGUUGUAUAUGAGCAACUCACUCAAAUUAGACCAACUAAACCUUUAUUAAUAUCAAUACUCUUAUUGGGCACGAGUGGUUAGGCUAAAAUAUGUUCUCAUAUUCGAGCUUCAACUCUUUUACCCUCCAAACAACGACUAAAGUCUUUAAUAUUUAUGUGAAGGAAAGACAAUUAAUUUAAACUUGAAUGCAAAAAUGAUGAUUCAUAAUCUCAACUAAUAAUAAUUCACUUCAUUUUCAUUGUUGCUAAACUAGACAUUUAUAUGCCAUUAUUUCUAAUCAUCCUUUUUAGAAACUAAUCAGUCUCUUGUUAGUUAAAAAUUAGUUCAAGAUGACCGUUGCACGGUGGGCAGGGUAUGAUAUAUAUCGAAUUACCAUACCAUAUUAAAUUUUUUAAUAUCGUGGUGUUGAUAUUAUGGUAUUUGGUAAGAUACAUGGUAUACAUUUUAAUUUUUUUUUGGUAUUCGGUAUGGUAUUUGAUAUUUUGAAAUAAUAUACCAAAAUAUCGAAUACCGAAUACCAUACCAAAGUAUAUAGUUACAUAAUAUAUAUAUACUAGAUAUAAAAACCCGGGCAAGCCCAGACCCAAUAUAUAUUAAUUUAGUUAUUUUAAUUUAUGUGAUACAGAUAAAAUUAGAAGAGUCAAUUAAUUUUUUAAAUAUUAUUAUGGUUUAUUAUUUUUAUUAUAUUUUUAACGUACUUUUCAAAUAAUAUCUUUGUCACAUGUGAUAUUUCGAGAGUGCAUUAAAUUUUAAUAUAUUUUUAAAAAUAUUUUAAGUUGUUAAUUAUUGUGAUUUGUGUGGCACAUGUGAAAUUUUGAGAAUUAAUUAAAUUUUUAAUAUAUUUUUUUAAAAAUAUUUCAAGUAUGUAAUUUUUAAAUAAUAUAUGUUAUUUCCCCUGUCCGAAUUAAUAUGGCACAUGUUAAAUUUUGAGAUUUAAUCAAUUUCUUAAUAUGUUUUUAAAUAUUUUAAGUUGUGAUUAAUUGUACUCUUAACGUAAUUUUCAAAUAAUAUAUGUUACUCCCUUUGUGCCAAUUUAUGUGGUACAUGUGAAAUUUCGAGAGUUAAUCACAUUUUAAUAUAAUUUUUAAAUAUUUUAAGUUGUUAAUUAUUGUGGUUUAUAGAACUCUUAAUGUGAUUUUCAAUUAAUAUAUGGUACUCUCUUGGUCCUAAUGAUGCAGUACAUGUGAAAUUUCGAGAGGUAAUUAAAUUUAUAAUAUUUUAAGUUAAUUUUUAAUACUAUUUUUAUAAAUACAUAGUAUAUAAAAAAGAAAAUAUAUAAAUAGAAGAAGUUGAGGAGAAGGGUAAACCAGUCAAUUGUCUGGUUGACCCUAAGCUCCUCAACAUUCGCUUCUAUAAUAUAUAUAUAUAUANNNNNNNNNNNNNNNNNNNNNNNNNNNNNNNNNNNNNNNNNNNNNNNNNNNNNNNNNNNNNNNNNNNNNNNNNNNNAUAAUAUAUAUAUAUAUAUAUAUAUAUAUAUAAUUAAAAUACUAACAACUAUGCAACCUAAUAUUAGUAUAAAGUAAAUGUUUAGAAGUUAAAACUUUGACCACUCUAGUUUGAUUGAAAUUUAAUUGAUUAACAAAAGAAGUUGUUUGUACUUUAUUUUGAAUAUAUAUUUCUACACGUGUAACGUGUUAAUAUGAUACAAUUGAGACAUUUUUUUAAUUGUUGAAGUGAAUAUAUAUUAGUAGAAGUUGAACAAACUAUGCUAUCGAUUUACCAUACCAUUGAAUAUCAAACCGAACUUCGAAAUACCAAACCAUAUUGAAUUAAAUUAGUAUGAUAAUGAUAUAAUGUUUUAAAAAAUAAAUAUCAAAAUUAAGAUAUUGAAACUUUGAAAUAUCGUACCGUACCAUACCAUGUUCACCCCUUGCACCAUAAUAUUAAUUACGUUAAUUUGGCACAAUUCAAGGGCAAAUUUGGAAAUUUUCUUUUCUUAUUUGAACAUACAAUAUUCGAAAAUGCCCAAAUGAAUUGCCUAUGAAAGCAGGAGAAAAAGCGCGCUCGAAUUCAUUCACACUUUACACACACUCUCUGCUCAAACAGAAAAUGGAGCUUUCCAGAACCGCCUGUGCCGCCGACGAUCAACUUGCUCGGACUUCCGAAAUCGAAUCUCAGCUUUCCUCCGUCGUUUACGGUAUUCUCCAUAUGUAUAUUGAGUACUACAUUCAAUUGUAUGCAUUUUAUCUUGAAGAUCUGUAACCAAUUGAAAUUUUAGCUGGACGAUUUGUAUAUUUUUUUUCUUCUUCGGAGUUUUAGUCAAAUUGCUAUGUUAUUGUUUGAUAUUUCCUCUGGUAAUCCUUUUCCGCUUUGCAUUAGCUUUCAUGUGCUGUUUUCUUCUGUCUCAGCGUCAUAUGUGUUGUUUUUUCGCAUAUUGUUUUGAAUUUCGUCUUCGUGAAUGGGAGACGAAAUAGUUCGAAUUAUAAACUAUCAGUUGCUUUUUUUCAGUUAAAUUUAUUAUAAUUUCUUCAGUUAUAUUCUUGCCUGUGUUACUUUUCCGUCUUUAGUUGCUAGUGAUUGAAUUUCUCUUGAAAUUUUGAUAUUUUUCCUAAUUUUUUUUUUCUGAAUUAGAGAGAAUUUACAAGUUGUUUGAUUAAUGUGAGAAACAAUUUAGACCUAACUAGGUAAAUUUGAUAUUUUAGAAAAUAGUUUUGUAUUAUCUGUCUAAAGAAUAAGGCUUCUAUACAGCAAGAGAACUGAGAAUAUUAGCCAACUGUCUCAAUUGACCUUCAAAACAUUUAUGAAUUGUUAAUUGCAUGCUAUGAGGAUAAAAUGCUGAGGAAUUUGGUUUGAAUUGAGAUAAAAUGAACAAUUAACUGAUCUAAACUACUGUUUCACAUGGUCUUGGUAUGCUGCUUUUAGCAAAGUUUUAGAUCAUCUCAUCUGUUACAUCUAAUUUUGGAAGUGCACACCAUCCUAAGUUGGAAUCUAAAAGCCUUUCUCUUCAUUCCACAAAUUGCAUGCGUCUGGUGAUAAAAAGAUAGUGGUUAAAUUUUUGUUUUGGAGAUGAAUUAUCACUAAAAAAUUCAGUAGACUUAUGUGUCUACACUAUACAUACUUCACGGAACUAAAAAAGAAAUAAAGUGCAAAUACUACGUCAGUCAUAUUUCAGUUUCCUCUUAAAUAUAAAAUGGAAACUGAUUGCGGAAAAUCCAGGAGAAUGUAGUGUAUGAGUUGCAUAGCUAGAUACUACUGAAGUUUAUAUUGAUCAAUAUGUAGUUUUAUGGUCUUAAUCCGGUUUACUGACCUAUGAUGUGAAGGAAUGUGGUCUCGAAUCCUACUUGUGACUAAGUGCACUGGACGUUCUCUUUACCUAAUAACUAACUGAGGAAAUCCCUAAUUCAAAUCCAUAAUUUAUUGCUGGAAAUUUUUUUAGUGGAUGUUCUGAUAUGACAUGUUAAUGAAAAUAAUGGAACAUCAGGUUAAAAGAAAUAAGCUUCACUGAGCCCCGGCAGUUAUUAUUGGUGGUUCAUGCUUCGACUUAUUGAGAGGGAACUUGAUAUUUUCAGUUACCCGCACGUUCUAAAAGUGAUAGUAGAAUUCAUCUGCCAUUUGCCUGGUCAUGUUGAAAUAGGGCCUUUGUUUUCAGUUACUAGAAGUUUUGCUAAUGUGUUGAUCAGCGUUGUCAUCAAUUAAAUGUUAAUAUACCUUGUGGAAUUGCAAUGUCAUGAGGAACUUACAUGUUCUACAAAAUGGUUAUGCAGAGCUCUCACAACAAGUGCAAGGGGCAAUGGAGAACAUGCUGAAGAUGAUAAAGUGAGCUGAUUAGCAUUGUGGCUGAAGGAAGUAUAGUUUUAUCUACAUAGCAACAUAGAGAAAUGAGCAAAUACUUGCAUUGGCUUUGAAAACUUGGACUUGUAUUGUUAAUAUUCAUCUAUUCUAUCCUCCAUUUUUUAAUGUUCUUGACUAAAUCUCAAGAUUACUAUUUUAUAUAUAUCAAAUGCGUCAAUAUUUCGAGGGCAGUCAGGAGUUUGCGUUCUUCUGAAGCUAUUGGUUUUCAUAUUUCACUCUUUCAUAACAGUCUUUCUUGCAUUUUUAUUUUAACUGCGCAUUCUUUCUUGCAACUUAUUAGUUAGAGUUAAAGACCGUAACCAUUCAUUUCAUUGCAUCUAUGGACAAUUAUCUCUCUCUCUCUCUCUCUCCCUGUCUGCUUGUUUGUGUCCUACCCUUUCACAUUUAUAUCACUUUCUACAGCGAAAUUGAUCAGAGCUCUACUGAAGUAACAGAAGACAUGGAGAAGUGCAAGGAGUCUGCUCUUGAGAGAAGUAAAACUUUAGAGGAACAGAAGGAACAUUUUCAAAGAGCUGCUUAUGCUAUUUUGGACAUGCUAAAUAACCAGGAGAGAGGAUAAAAUUUGUAAGUUUAUAAAUGCUCCCUUAAUCUCUGUUUUUCACAGCAGUGAUCGUGAUUUCAGCUCAGGCAUAACUUGUGAUGUUUAUCUCAUUAAAAUAUUCUAUCAGUUUGAUUUCUCAUGCAUUGGAUUUAUCAUGUCAUCUGUGACAGACAUGCCGUAAAUUGUAAAUUAAUUCACUUCCAUAUGUUUUAGAUGGAACAGUCUGCUCAUGUAUAUGCUUACUAGUGUUAGAUCACAUUUGGAAGCAUCUUCAAAAUAUUUUCAUAGUUCUUAUUCUUUGUGCAGGUAUAGAGGGCAUGCCAGACAUUUUGACCCCAUCAUUCCUCGCAACGAUGUAAAAUUUGUAGAGAAUCCACAAGUCACUUAGCUUUGUAGCAUUUUGGGAAAUACAUUUGAGUCCUACCCGUUAAAUAAGCAUUGCUUGAAUCUGAAUGGUAAUAAUCGAUGUAUGAUCUCUACGAAUCAUGUGCCUUUCUGCUUGUUGACUAUCCUAAAAGUUGGGUUUUGUGUCCUCUUGAAGCAAAGCUUUAAACUCAAGAUUCUUUCUCCUGGUCAUCAUUAGCUUCAUACUAAAACGUGAAUUUGUUGAUUGUUGCUUAGGUGAAGAUCACUAGCUUCAUCACUAGCAAAUUCUAGUUGAAUCAUUCUCAGUAUUUUUGGUUCAACAUUUUAGCAAACCUGAAUGUUCAUAACUAUGAACAUGUAACCCGUCUUGGCCUGAAAUUAAAGAACAUCUUGCAUAGACUGAUGAACCUCAAAAUAUACCUGAUUUGAUUAAACGAAUAUUUAGGGCCAAGAUUGAUGAACUGAAGAUAGAUAUAUUAAAGCUAAGUAUCUUUGGAAGAGUUGUUGCUUUUAUGUACACUUUUGAGUUCCAAAAAUAAUGUUUACCCCAUGCUUACUUUACAACUGUUUCGUACCAUUCUUGGUGAAGAAGAAGGAGAGUUGUAUUCUUCAGGACAUCUUGAACUAGACUGAUGAUUUUCUGCAACAAAAUUAAUUUGGCUAUGUGAGUGUUGUUUGUAAGGUUAAUUUUCAGGUAUGCUUAAUGUUAAAUUAGGUCUUAAGCCUAACUCACACCCCUAAAAGCUAGCUCAAAGGGAGGAGGAUUGCCCAAACCUUAUAAGGAGUCUACCCAUCUCAUUUAACCACCGAUGUGGGACUUUUGUCAUUCUUUAACACCUUACCUCACGCCCAGUGCUUAGCAUCUGGUGCGUGGACAAAUUUGAUUUUGGAGGCCCCAACAUCGGGUGAGACGGGCCCUGCUCUGAUACAAACCACUCUCACCUUCCCACUAUAAAGCUCCUGGAGAAUACAUAAGUUAGUGAAGAAUGUAACUGAACAACCAAGUUCCUUUGUCAACUGACUUACAUACAUCAAGUUAUACUUGAAUUCAGGUAAGUAAAAUACAUUGGAGAUAACACUCCUAUUUGUUAAUGCACAAGAACCAACAUGAGUGACCUGAGUAGUACCCCCAUUAGGCAGAUAUACAAUUUUAGGAAUCUGCAAUUCUGACACAGAACCUUUUAUAAACAUGUUCAUCUGAUAAACCAUGUGAUUUGUUGCACCAGAAUCUACAAUCCACACUUCAUUGUUCUUAGAAACAAACAAGGAUUUACCUGCAGUGUGAGCAGCAAAAGUGGUAUUGCUCUCAGAUGUUGCAGUGCCUUGGUUUUGUGUGAGACCUCUAAGAAUAUGAUCAUACUGUUCUUUUGUGAAUGUGCAACCCUUCAGUAAUUGUUUCACAUUCAUCUCUGCUUGACUUGCUGCUUUUCCAUGCUCACUUUGUGCAGUAGCAGACUUCAGAUCCCAUCUUGCUUCAUGCACAUUAGUAUUCAAGCCAUAAGAAAAAUGAGCCUGACCUGGACCAGGAACACCACAUGGAGCAGAAUUAUUGUAACCGAACACCUUGAACCUUCUUUUUGGACUUGAAAUCAGGAGGAUACCCCAUAAUUUUGUAGCAAAAUUCUUUACUAUGACCCUUACAUUUACAGAAAUCACAAAUGAGAAGGGAGUUUCGUUUAAACCUUUGAUUUACUCCUGAAGUAGAACCAACAACAGAUUUAGAGUACAUUGCCAUAAAAUCCAUACUCUCAGCACUCAGCCCCAUGUUGCUAAUGUGUGAAACCACAACCUUUUGACUCUCAUCUCCUACUACCAUAGCAUAAGCAUGAUUAACAGUUGGUAAGUGAUUCAUCAUUAAAAUUUGACUUCUAGCCUGAUUAUAGGACUCAUUAAGCCCCAUUAAAAACUGAUACAAUUUUUGUCUGCUCAGGUGAUUUACAAAAUCUUUCGACUUAGCACAAUUGCAUCCAGGAGAAGGAACUACAGCCUUAAACUCAUCCCACAAGGUCUUGAGUUUGGUGUAAUACGCAGAAACAGAAACAGUCCCCUAUUGUAGUGACGCAAUGUCUUUAUGAAGGCUAUAGGUUAUCGACCCAUCUACUCUAUCAAAUCUCUCCUUUAAAUCACUCCAAACAUGAGAAGCACUUGUAGUAAAUGCAAUUCCACUUAGUAAACUUUUUGACACUGAAUUCAUCAACCAGGAUAGUACUACAACAUUCACUCUCUCCCAUUGUCCCUAUAAUUUUUCACUGAACAUCUCUUUACUACAGGUUCCAUCAAUAAACCCAGUUUAUUGCGUCCUAACAAUGCUAGUGUAAUCGAUCUAUUCCAUAGAGAGUAGUUCUCGAUUCCAAGUAAUUGAAAUGAAAUAAGAUUCACUCCACUUAAAUCUGUAGGACUAAGAAAAAGAGGAUGAUUGUAGUCAACACCUUGCCCAAUUACAGAAUUAGGUAUUGGCAUUGAUACACCUGUGUUUUCACCAUUGUUGCCUUGAAUCGAAUCUGCAACUGUUCUCCCAUUCGUCAUCCUGAUUCACUGCUGAUCAACAAUUGUUUGCGGAAGCUAAUUACUCAUCAAUUACCUAUAGAUUUCACCCAAGAACUUGUGUAAAAGUUGUAGAUCAACUGACAAACUGAUGAAUCUGUAACUCAAUUCUAUGAUCCUCAAUUGAAAUCGCCUAUCACAGUAAUUACUGUGUGUGGCUCUGAUACCAUGUUAAAUUAGGUCUUCGGCCUAACUCACACCCCAAAAGCUAGCUCAAAGGGAGGAGGAUUGCCCAAGCCUUAUAAGGAGCCUACCUAUCUCAUUAACCACCAAUGUGAGACUUUUUGCUUUAACACCCCACCUCACGCCCAGAUUUCACCCAAGAACUUGUGUAAAAGUUGUAGAUCAACUGACAAACUGAUGAAUCUGUAACUCAAUUCUAUGAUCCUCAAUUGAAAUCGCCUAUCACAGUAAUUACUGUGUGUGGCUCUGAUACCAUGUUAAAUUAGGUCUUCGGCCUAACUCACACCCCAAAAGCUAGCUCAAAGGGAGGAGGAUUGCCCAAACCUUAUAAGGAGUCCACCCAUCUCAUUAACCACCAAUGUGGGACUUUUGUUAUUCUUUAACACUUACUAUUGAACAUUAGUACUGUUGUAAUACUGAACUCGCAAACCUAUAUAUUAUUGUCACAUUAAAGUCAGAAUUCUGGUCAUCUUCAAGCUUUAGUUCUUCUUCAUUCAUAUUGUGAUGCUUGAAUACACAAGUCUGUUGUUUUCGUUUUUGAAAGCUGGGGUUCAGAGUUUGCUAUUACAUGUUUUUUUUUUGUUGCUACUGCAUGUUAUUGUUUGAGAUAUGCGUUUCCCUUUGUGUUUCUUUGACUUGUUUGGAUGGUAGUUGUUAUAUUGUAUUGUAUUUUAUUGCAUUGCGUUGUUAAAAUAACAUAAUAUUACUUUUGAUUGACACUUACAUUAAAUUUAUAGUUGGAUAAAAAUAACAAAUUCUCAUUUUGUAUAAUAAGUAAUGACUGAUUUGGUGUGAUUCAAUCGUUGCUUUAUUUUUUUCCUCACAUUUUGUCUUUAUGUUUUACUCCCUCUAUCUAUUUUUACUACUUUGCACACUCCUUAAUAUGAGUAUUUUAUCAUAAUACUCAUAUUAAUUGAUGCAUUGUCUAAUUUUAGGAAAUGAUAUGGGGAUAAGUAAUUACUGUUGAUGGUUAAAUAGGAAAAAAUGAUAAUUGUUUUAUAUAUUAAAAGUGACAGCUAAAAGUGAAAAUCUAUUUUUGGAAUAUUGGACAAGUAAAACUGAACAGAUGAAAUAUUUAGUAAUCAUAUUUUAUCACAAUAUAUUCAUCGAAACAAUGUCCCAAAACAAUAUUACGAUAGAUUUGAAGAUUGAUUUGCAACUACAUCUUUUGGUAUAGUAUCUAACGAGGCCGGCCUUAACAGAAGUCCCCUUUCUCCAAACAUUUCAAUCAGAAAGUUACAUUGAAAACAACAGGUUACAAUUAUGUAUAAAGCAAAUUACAUUGUACAACAAAGUAUAUAUUAAGGAGACAUUAACAAUAAAAGUAAGAAUUAAUUAAGGUACUAAUUAAACAUUAUUGGUAGCUUCCUAUAGGUAAUCUUGAGAACAAGACCAGGAUAAACACUUCAUUAAUUGUUGAUUAUCCUCUCUAAGAUUUCGAGCUUCUGAGAAAGAGCAACACUUCAUUAGUAUUUUGCUGAAAUCAACAAAAACAUAAGAAAUAUUGUUGAAGAAUUGAAGUUUGCUCUCGAAGCCUUUCUUGAGGAAGCCAUAUAUAUUUGUGAAAAAUAGAUAGAACAGAAAGAGAUUACUGUACUAGUAUUUAUAAGAAAAUAUAAGAGGAAUUUUAUUAGUCCUAAUCCUAGUAUGUGAAGGAAAAAUUACCUUUUUAAUUAUUUUAUAUUCUUUGCAAUUUACAUGCUUAACAUAUCCAUUCCUUUCUAAUUUAGGGUAAUUAUUUUAGGAAAAAAUUCAUCAAAUUUAGGGUGUUAGUUUGAGAACUAUUUUUGAGUAAACAAAAUAAAAUUAGUUUGAGGAUAUUUUUAGAUCAAUAGAUGGAUGAAGGAUAUUAAUGAAUCAUUCUUCAUAUGUUAGAGAUAUUUUUUAUUCUUUUCUAUUAAUUUUAUUUGCAAGAAGUUGGUAAGGACAACUUUAUCUCUUAAAAAUAUAAUUAUGAGAUCAAUAAAAUUUACCAAUAAUAUUAGUUAUUAUUAGUUUAACUUUUAAUUAGAAGAAAAGAGGUCGCUCAUAAAGUUUUCUGGUAACGAUAACUUAAGUAUUUUUUUUCAAAAAAAUAAUAAUUAUGAUAUAAAAAAGCUAUAGGGGAAGUGGGAGAAAGAAACCUAGUGACCACCUUUUUUUUCAUGAGAAAUCUAUUUUACCUAAGUGAAAUUUUCCAUUUCUAUUUUUAAUAUUCUUUUCUUCACAAAAUAAGUGUCACUUUAGUAAUAACAAUAAAAAAAUAAUUCUAAAAUAAGUGUCACUUUAGAAACUAAAAAUCAGAAUUAGUUUUGGGAUGAGUGAGUAUUAUUUCUCUUAAAUAAAUACGUAAGUAGUAGAAAUAUUUAAAUUUUCAAAAGUAUCAUUACUAAAGUUAAUUUAGUAAAAUAUACCAAAAAAAACUUUCUUAAAAGUUAUGCCAACUCAACAUGUAAUUUGAAUUCAUAAUAAUAGUGAUAACAAAAUUAUAUCAGAAAAACAAUAAUUUAAUUGAUAUAACAAUUAAAUUAAAAAUAUUAAUUUUUUUAACAAAGAAGAAAACAAAUAUUUUAUUACCUUAUUGAUGUCUUCCAACCAUAUAAUGCACUGAGGAGUUGUUUGGAGUAAGAAAUAAGAUAUAAUGGUUCCAGGAUAAAAUAUAAAAUUAUUUUAUCAUGUUGAUUAGAGGUAUUAGGUAAUAACUUAAAUUAUUUAUCCAUAUAUAUGGUUGAAUAACAUAUCUUGAAGUAACUUAUUUCGAAAUUAAUAAUCCCAAGAUAACUAGUUUUCAUCUCACCAAACAACCCUAAGAAUAAUAAAUUUUUGAUAUUCUUAUCCGUCAUAAAAUUUAGGGAUAAGGGUCUGAAAAAUACCCCAACUUUGGUCGGAUUUGAUGUUGCGAUACUAAACUUUCAUAAGGACCUAUUACCUCCCUAGACUAUUUAAUACAAUAUUUUUACCCCCGAACUAUUUAAUAGUGUAUUUUAAAGGUAUAUAUGUGCCCACGUGGACACAUUACUAUUUAUAAUUUUGCAUUAUUUUUUAUGUCCACGUGGGCAAAUAUAUAUGUUUAAAAUACAGUAUUAAAUAGUCUAGGGAGGUAAUAGGUCCUCAUGAAAGUUUAGUAUCGCAACAGCAAAUCCGACCAAAGUUGGGGUAUUUUUCAGACUCUUAUCCCNNNNNNNNNNNNNNNNNNNNNNNNNNNNNNNNNNNNNNNNNNNNNNNNNNNNNNNNNNNNNNNNNNNNNNNNNNNNNNNNNUUUUUUACCCCCUGAACUAUUUAAUAGUGUAUUUUAAAGGUUAAUAUGUGCCUACGUGGACACAUUACUAUUUAUAAUUUUGCAUUAUUUUUUAUGUCCACGUGGGCAAAUAUAUAUGUUUAAAAUACAGUAUUAAAUAGUCUAGGGAGGUAAUAGGUCCUCAUGAAAGUUUAGUAUCGCAACAGCAAAUCCGACCAAAGUUGGGGUAUUUUUCAAACCCUUAUCCCUAAAAUUUAUGUUGUAGUCGACCUUUCGAGUUUUUGAGAUAAAUAAGGAUUUAAUAUUUUUUUAUUUUCAAAAAGGUUAUUAGAGUUUUUUUUCACAAGGGAAAAUGGCCUGAUAUACCCUUCAACUUCGCUAUUUAGAGUUGAUAUACAUCUCGUUAUGAAUAUCACCCAUAUAUACCCUUACUGUUAUACAAAUGACUCACAUAUAUCCUCCUCUAACAGAAGUGAAAAAUAAUAAUUUAAAUUUAAUUAUUUAAAAAAAAUAUAUAAUCCAUAUGUGGUAUAUUUAUCCUCCCCACACAUAUUUGUUUUGACUUUUUUUUUUUGUUUCAACAACUAACUUAAAUUUAUUAUUUUGAUGGUCAAAUUUAUUUAUGUUUUAAUUAACUUUCUUGUAAAUUUUAUUAUAGAUGCCACAAUUUUUUUAAUAAAUACAAAAAACUUAAUUACAAUAUAGCCCCAAAAUAGUUUUAAAUUAUAAUUUAGCCACAAAAAAUAGCUUUAAUUUUUUUUCUUUACACUAAAGAAUGAAAGAAAAAAAUAAAAUAAAAUAAGAAACUCAAAUAAUGAUAAUCAAAGAUGUCAAAAAACAAUUUAUGUAUGAAAAAGAUUAAAAUAUACCUUGAAUUUUGCUAGACGGAUCAUAUAUACUCUUACAGGACUUUUUUUUUAUUGAAAAUAAAAAAAUAUAAAUUCAAAUUAAUUUUUUCACUUCCGUUAAAUGAUGGGUUGUAAUCAUUUAAAAUUUAUUAAAUAUAAAUUUAUAAAAUGAUUCAGAUUAUAUUAAAUUCAUGAAUAUAUUAGUCCAAAUAAAUAUUAUGGAUUAAUAUAAUCGAGUUAAUUAUUUAAAUUCAAUAAAAAAAUAUGAAUUUAAUUAAAAGUCCGCUCCAUAAAACCCAUUUGCCAUGUCAGUUAAAUCUGAUUGACCGAAGAGAAUCGUAUUCCAAUCACAACUCCUCUAUUUUAAAACUAUAUAUAAAGAGCGGUCCUCAUAAUUCAGAAAAGGAACCAAGAAUUCUAACAAGAAACUAGAGAAAGCUCGUGGAUUAAAAGCCAUCAAGAACGAUCAAGAUCGAGACCACCAGAUUCAAGAUCAAGCUCGAAGCCCUUGAAUUAAACUAGAAUUCAAGAUCAAGAUAAAGUUCAAGUUCAAGUUCAAGUUCAUCGAAGAUUCAAGAACAAAUUCCAAAACCCUUGAAUCCAAGAUCAAGUUCAAGAUCAAAAUAAAGUUCAAGUUCAUCGAAGAUUCAAGAACAAGCUCCAAAGCCCUUGAAUCCAAGAUCAAGAUCAAGUUCAAGUUCAAGUUCAAGACAAAUUCAAGAUCAAGCUCAAGAGCCUAAUUCAGAGGAAUCAUAGAGAUUGUAAUACUAGCACUUUGAAAUAAUAAUUAUGAUUGUUGCAAUACUUUUAUGUUCUUGAUUAUUGUUUUCUCGACGCGAAUUUUAUCGUCUACAGAUGGGUAUAUGUGAGCUCCUUUUGUAACAGGGGUAUAUGUGGGUUAUUUGCAUAACAAUAAAAAUAUAUAUAUGUGUUACUUUCAUAACAAGAAAUAUAUCAGCUCUAAAUAACAAAAUUAAAAGACAUAUCAGACUUUUUUUCCAUUUCACGAUUAUGGCCAUUUUGUGACCAAAUUUUUGUUGUCAUUUAGCAUUACUCAACAAAACAAAAGUGAAUAACAUAUAUGAACUCAUAAAAAUUUAACUUAGUGGUCCAACUAGUGCUUACACUACUUCCCAAAGGAACCAAUAACUGCCAAAUCUAUUUUGGCCGUUUUGACCAAACAAACUAAUGAAAAGAAAUAUAUUUAGCUCUUUUCUCUCUUUCACACAGAUCACCACUACUUCUUCUUCUUCUUCUUCCUUCUUUCUACUAUUUUUUGUUUACUAAAAAUGGAAGCUGUAGUAAUAAUCUUGUUAUCCACCAUUAACAUACUUCUCUUUCUCCGCUCAUCAACAUCAGCAAUUCCCAUUUCCAUCAAGAAAACUUACAUUGUUCACAUGAAACAUCACCUCAAACCUCCAUCAUUCUCCACUCAUCAUCAUGUUAGUAUCGAAAUAAUUAGGUGUCAUGCGGAAGCUAGCAAAGCAAACCUCGAAAGACCAUGAGUAAGAAGACAAACGAGAAAUAUACCAAAAGACACAAAGAUUUAACGUGGUUCGGUCAAAUCGACCUAACGUCUACAAAGGAGAUGAACUAUCCACUAUAUAAAUAUAAGAGUACAAAAUAUAGAGAGAAAUAACCUCAAUCAAUUCACUUGGAAUACAUGGAGGUUCACACAAAUGAUAACGUAUCAAGCUUGUGUCCCACAAAUUCUCCCCCUAACCAAAACUCUCAAAACCCUUAAACUACAUUGUGAAUGCUGAUUAAGUUAAAAGGAACAAGCCUAUAUUUAUAGAGUUCUAAACCUUUUCCUAUCAUAAAAAGACUAGCCAAUUCAAAACAUUUUCCUAAAAGAAAAACCUAUUUAUGGUAAAGAAUUCAGGGCAAAUAAAAUCCAACACAUCAAUGGUACAAAACCCAUCUCCAAUCUCUCACUUCUUCCACCCAAAACUCUCUUCUCUAUACUUACAACUGCCUUGAUGAUUUGUGAAUCAUUACUUAUAUUUGUUAUUAAUAUGAACUCUAAUUAGGUAAUUGUAGUAAUUAUUAUGUUUAAAUAAAUCUAAGAGAGUGUUUACGCGUUAAUAUGUAAAAAUAAAUUUUUAAUAUGAGAUAUACUACCCACUCAACAACAACAACAAUAAAAAUUAUACGAAUCAUAUAGUUCAUUUGUAUUGACCUUGAUCAAUAUCAAUCCAAAAGAAUCAUGUAUUAAUGUUGUAGUUCGGCAUCCUUCUGUUAUGUCUAUUUGAUAACUUGUGAAUCAUUGCUUGUAUUUAUUAUUAAUAUAACCUCAAGAAUAUAAUAAAAUAAUUUUAAAAUGAAAGAAUAAUAAUAAAAAAUUAUAUAUAAAAUAAUUUUAAAUUGAAAGAAUAAUAAAAAUAAAAAAUAAAAAGAGAUAAUAUAUACAAAGUAUUAUUGUUAAAUAAAAUUACAAAUAACAUAUGUAUUUAAAGUAAAAGAAAGUUUUUAUUAAUAGAAUAAUAGUUGGUAUAUCUUAUUAAAAGAUUUGUAUCAUUUAAUAUUUUCAAAAAAUAUUAAUUCUUCCUUUAAUCAAAUGCAUUAAUAAUUUUUUAUUUUUGUUUAAAAUUUCGUAAUAAUAACUUCAAAAAAAUAUUUUAUUAGUAAUUUUAAUUUGUUGUUUAAUAAUUAUAUUUUAAUAUAUUUAUUCAUGGAUAAAUUUCAUAAGAUGUGCAAGUAUAAAUUUUUCUUAGUUCAUGAAGUGUAAUUGUUUGAUUUUAAUAUAUAAAUAUUGUAUUUAAAAUUGAGUUGUAUUAUAAAAAUGUUUAAUGUAUUAAUUAGGGAUAAUGGUUGAAAAAUACCUCAACUUUGGUCGAAUUUGCUGUUGCGAUACUAAACUUUUAUGAGGACCUAUUACCUCCCUAGACUAUUUAAUACCAUAUUUUUUACCUCAUGAACUAUAUAAUAGUGUAUUUUAAAGGUAUAUAUGUGCCCACGUGGACACAUUAUUAUUUAUAAUUUUGCAUUAUUUUUUAUGUCCACGUAGGCAAAUAUAUAUGUUUAAAAUACGGUAUUAAAUAGUCUAGAGAGGUAAUAGGUUUUCAUGAAAGUUUAGUAUCGCAGCAACAAUUCGACCAAAGUUGAGGUAUUUUUCAGACCCUUAUCCCUAUUAAUUAUUUAUAUACGAAUAAUAUGAAAUUAAAUCUCAUAAAUAUUUUUUUUGGUGAUUUUAAAAAAAUGUUUUACAUCAGUGAAGCUUCACAAACCAUAAACUAUUUUUUUUUUAUACAAUUUCAUUUUAUUUUUGUCAUUUUAAAGAAAAGUUUAAUCAAAUUGAGUGAUUAAAAUAAAAUCAUUUAUUUUCACCACUUUUUUUAAUUUUAUUUUAUAAAGAGACAAUGAAAGAGAAUUUUAUUAUUAUAAGAAGAAGAUGUAAAUUGACAGAGAAAAAAAAAGAUGAAUAAAAAAUUUGAAAACGAAUGAAACCAUUAAAUGCUAUAAUCGGUGCGACCCAAAGAAUUCACGUGGUUAAAAUAAUAAUGCAUCCCAAAAUUUACUAAUAUUGUUUAGAAAAAACUUUAACUUUGUUUUGAAAAAAAAAGAGGUAAUUUUCUGACAAUUUAGCAGGUUUCAAUAACAUAUUUUCUAUUCACUAAUAGUUGUCAAUUAUUUAUUUGAUACAAAAAUUAAAAAGAAGUAAAUGAAAUUUACCAAAUUAUUAUAUAAAAUUCAUCUAAAUAUUGAAAAAUGAAUAAUAUUUAAUAGUAAAAAUAAAAUUGACAUAAAAUAAUAAAUUAACUAGAUAAAUAUUACUCCCUCCGUUUCACAAAGAAUGACCUCAUUUCCUUUUUAGUCAGUUUAAAAAAGAAUGACCUCUUUCAUUUUUUGGUAACAUUUUACUUUUUGCUUUCCACGUGGCAUGUUUAAGACCGCAAAAUUAAAGACAAUUUUAUACAUUUGACAUAACUUUAAUUUAGGACCACAAGAUUCAAAAGUCUACUUUAUUUACUUAAACUCCGUGCCAAGUCAAACCAAGUCAUUCUUUGUGAAAUUGAGGGAGUAUUAGACAUUCCAAAAUAAUACUUAGUGAACAAGUAAAGACGAAUGACGGGAGUAUAUAAUCUCAUAAAACUUUAACUUAGUGGUCCAACUACUGAUUACACUACUUCCCAAAGGAACCAAUAACUGCCAAAUCUAUUUAGCUCUUUUCUCUCUUUCACACAGAGCACCGCUACUACAACUUCCUCUUCCUUCUUUCUACUGUUUUCUUUGUUUACUAAAAAAAAUGGAAGCUGUAGUAAUAAUCUUGUUAUCCACCAUUAACAUACUUCUCUUUCUCCACUCAUCAACAUCAACAUCAGCAAUUCCCAUUUCCACCAAAAAAACCUACAUUGUUCACAUGAAACAUCACCUCAAACCUCCAUCAUUCUCCACUCAUCAUCAAUGGUACAAAACCCAUCUCCAAUCUCUCACUUCUUCCACCCAAAACUCUCUUCUCUACACUUAUACCACCGCUUAUCACGGAUUCGCCGCAAGUUUGGAUUCUCAUGAAGUUGAAUUACUCCGUCAAUCUGAUUACGUUGUUAAUAUCUACGAAGACACUUUUUACACCCCACAAACAACGCGCACACCUGAAUUUCUCGGCCUCGAUAAGCUCGAUUUUGGGGAUGGACGUACUUUACCGGAUUUCAACACGGCUGCUCAGGAUGUUAUAAUUGGGGUACUUGAUACUGGAGUCUGGCCGGAAUCGGAAAGUUUUAGUGAUUUGGGUAUGUCGAAUGUGCCGUCCAGAUGGAGAGGGAAGUGUCAAUCGGCGCCGGAUUUUGAUCCGAAAGUGCAUUGUAAUAGGAAACUUAUAGGUGCUCUGUAUUUUUCUGAAGGUUGUAAGGGCUGCUCCCAGGAGAUUCAAUCGCCCCGGGACCAUGACGGCCAUGGCACACAUACUGCGAGCACAGCGGCAGGUAGAUGAGGAUUCAGGAUUUAAACUUGAUGGGUUUAAUUAGAUACGUGAUAUUUAUUGAAAAUUUAGUAGUUAUUCUAUUCCAAUUUAUGUGGCACAGUUGAAGUUUCGAGAUUUAAACUUCUAAAUUUUGAUAGUGAAAUUGGAAAUAGAAACUUUUAGGACCGAUUUAGUACGAGGGAGAAGAGAUAUCUAAUCAUGGAUUAAUUUUAGGAUCAACUUAUCCCAUGUUUGGUUGGGAAUAAAUCACGGGAUAACUUGUAGAUAACAAUUUAGGAAUAACUUGUUUCCCAACCAAACAAGCCUCAAGUUUUUUCGAAAUAAAAAUUUUAUAUUUGAAAACCAUAUAAAAAAAAUACUAUAAAUUACAAUAAUUAACAAUUCAUAAGACACAAAAAAUUUAGUUUUUAUUUUUAUUUUUUAUGUUUUAACUAAUGUUUCAAAAUUUAAUGUGACUCGAAAUUUCAAGGGAGCUACAUAAAUUGGGAAGGAGGGAGUAAUUCUUUCACAUAUAUAUCUUAGUUUCGCGUAAAAAAUAUUGGAUUCAGUUGAACUCGUAUUAUAUGCAGGAUCAAUUGUGGCAAAUGCUAGUCUUUUUGGCUACGCCAAAGGGACUGCUAGAGGGAUGGCGCCACAAGCCCGCAUAGCAAGUUAUAAAGUGUGCUGGAAUGAACUGUGUGCAGGGUCAGAUAUUCUUGCUGCAUUCGACCGUGCUAUUAUGGAUGGUGUUGAUGUGUUGUCUGUGUCAUUGUCUAAUAAUGAGAAGACUUAUUAUACUGACCCGAUUGCUCUUGGUGCUUUUGCUGCUAUGGAGAAAGGGAUUGUUGUGUCGUGUUCAGCUGGGAAUGAUGGUCCUGUGGAAUCAACAGUUGUGAACACGGCUCCAUGGGUCAUUACUGUUGGUGCUGCAACUCUUGAUAGAGAUUUUCCAGCUACUGUCACACUGGGUAAUGGCCAAAAACUUCAAGGCGUGUCGUUGUAUAGUGGAAAGGUAGAAAUGGGAAAUAAGUUGUUGAGCUUAGUUUACCAACAAGGGGGAAACUCCUCUUUGUGCUUUCGUGGUUCGCUUGAUCCAAACAUUGUUGGUGGAAAAGUAGUGCUAUGUGAUAGGGGGGGAAAUGAUAGAGUUGCAAAGGGACUAGUAGUGAAAGAAGCUAAUGGGGUAGGAAUGAUAUUAGCCAAUACACCUGAGACGGGGGAGGAGUUACUCGCGGAUAGCCACAUAUUACCUGCAGUGACUGUUGGAAGGAAGGUAGGGGAUGUAAUAAGAAAAUAUGUGAAAACAGAAAACAAUCCAACGGUUGUUUUCAGCUUUGGCGGAACAGUGGUAAAAGUGAAACCAUCUCCUGUUGUGGUUACAUUUAGCUCAAGAGGGCCAAAUGCAAUUGUUCCCCAGAUAUUAAAGCCUGAUGUUAUUGGCCCUGGAGUGAACAUCUUAGCAGCUUGGCCUCGAAAUAUUGGACCAACUUCACUUAAUAUCGAUACACGAAGGACCUCAUUCAACAUUGUUUCUGGCACUUCCAUGUCUUGCCCUCAUGUUUCAGGAGUUGCUGCAUUGGUAAAAGCUGUACAUCCAGAUUGGAGUCCAAGCGCGAUCAAAUCAGCAAUCAUGACAACCGCGUACACUCAAGAUAACACCAACUCCUCGUUUCAUGAUUCUGCACUAUACGGUACAUUUUCUAAUCCAUUUGUUCAUGGAUCAGGCCAUGUAAAUCCCCAGAAAGCAUUUUCCCCUGGACUCGUAUACAAUAUCAGGAUUCAUGAUCAUAUCAAGUUCUUGUGCUCCUUGAACUACACCAUAGAUCAAAUACAAUCCAUUGUAAAAAGACUCAAUUUCACUUGUGCAAACAAGUUUGCUGAUGCUGGGCAAAUCAACUAUCCUUCAUUCUCUGUCUUGUUUGAGAUUAACUCAAAGCGAGUUGUUCGUUACACUCGAGAAGUGACCAAUGUUGGAGCUGCAAGCUCAGUGUAUGAAGUAGCCACUGAUGCUCCUCCAUCCGUUACGGUAACAGUGAAGCCAACAAAGCUUGUAUUCAAGAAAGUAGGAGAGAAGCUUCAUUACACCGUGACAUUUGUGUCCAAGAAAGAUGUCAAACCAGGAAAUGCAUUUGGUUGGAUUUCAUGGAACAAUGCUAAACAUGAAGUGAGAAGUCCAGUUGCAUAUUCCUGGAUGACACCUCAAUUAGAUUUGGAAACAUGAAAGAAUGUAUCCAUAAAUGACUCUAUCUUAUAGCUAGUGAAAUGAAGGGGUUCGAUAAAAUACAUAAAAUUUAAAUCUUAAAUCCAACUUAAUGUAAAAAAAAUUGUAUUAGAAUUGGUGGGGUGCGCCAGGCCCGUGCAAUAGUGCAAAGCAUGGGCGACGCGCAAGAGCCCAGGUAGCAAGCUACCUUAAUGGACUCUUCCCCUUAAAUAAUUGAGUUAAUAUCGUGUGGAUCAAUGAUCCACAUAUCAGAUAUUAAACUGAUAAGAACAGAUACUACACUUGAUCUUAGCCAAAAGGCCGAGAAAGGUAUGCUUAUUUUGGUGUAAAUGACUGGCUUUUGUGACAAAACACUUGCGUUCAAGUUCUGUUUGGAUUCCGAUGUGGGAAACUAACAUAUGGACAUCUAACUUGGACUAAAAAAUAUGAGAUGCACUUGCAUGAUAAAUGAAAGUUAAAAAUAAAUAAAACUUCAAACAGUACUAAUAUUUGCUCACAUUACAUGCAAAUUCUAGUCUAGCUCUUCCUUUUCUUAAGUGAACUUUUAACAACUUUUUCUGGUUUUUUAGUUCUUAAAAAGACUUGAUAGGCAUUUGGAUAAACAAGUUGUGAAAACUAUCAAUUUUUCACCAAUCUUACCAAACGAACAAACAAAACUUAUUGGGUUUUCAUGUUUAUGAAAAAAAUAUAACUUAAACAAAUUCAAAUUGAAUGUUCAAACAAAACUUCAACUUCAUAUUUUAAUUUAAAUCAUUAUUUCAUAUUGCAUGUCCAAACGAGCCCUAAGAUUGAAACGAAACUAUCUUCAACCAUCCCCACGACAGUUACCACCACACUUCACAUUUGACCACUGCUGCGACCUCCAACUAAUAUACUCCUUCCUUUUCAUGUUAGUUGUCAACUUUUCUGUUUACACGGCCCUUAAGGACUCGUAAAAAACAAUAAGGAUAGUUUUACUAGUUUACCCCUUUAAAAAAUUUCUUGGAACUUGUUUACACUUUCAAAAAGAAUUAAUCAUAAGUGUACGACAUGGUUGUUUACACUUUUCUGCAAUUCCGCCUUCAUUUGGUUUGUCAUGUGGAUGAUGUUCAUGUAUUAUAAUCCUAGUGGGGAGUGUGCCUGAUACUCUACGAAUUCCUGCAGAAUAAGGCAUAAAAAGCGUAAAGUUUACUGAAAAAUCAUGUAUGGUUUCAUAACCACAAGUAUCAUUACACAUGAUUAUCCUCGCAUGUCAUGCAAAACUAAAAGGAAAAUAGAAGCAAUUCAUGAGUCAAAAACUAAAUCUUGAUUGGAACAUUUCUAGAUGAAGCAUAAGCUUACUGGUUCCUUCUUGGUUUGCCCCGUAUUCACAGAGACCUCCUGCAAGAUAUAGAAGCAAUCGUCAUAGAAAUUGUGUUUGCUCGGGUGGUGAAAUGUGGAACAACAUUAUUCAUUCAGUAUAUAAUGAUGGUACAAGUGGAGAAGAGUUUGUAAGCCUUGUCUGUGCUCCUUGCUUUGCUUCUGAUCGCUAUUAUAACGCAGUAGCUUUUCUCAUCAAUCUUUAGCUUUUAUAACUAUGAUAAGUUUCCACCAGUUUUCUAGAUCUUUAAUCCAGAAUUCGUAAGUUAACUAAAUAUUAAUAAAUGCAAACAGUUCAUACAGAUUACAGAGUAAGAAGAGAGCCUAAGUAGCAAUGCCCUAAAUUUGUACUGGAAUUGGUGGGGUGCGCCGGGCCCAAGCAGUAGUGCAACGCAUGGGCGACGCGCAAGAGCCCAGGUAGCAAGCUACCUUAAUGGACUCUUCCCCUUAAAAAAUUGAGUUAAUAUCGUGUGGAUCGAUGACCCACAUAUCAGAUAUUAAACUGAUAAGAACAGAUACUACACUUGAUCUUAGCCAAAAGGCCGAGAAAGGUAUGCUUAUAUCAGCGUAAAUGAAUGGAUUUUAUGACAAAACACUUGCGUUCAAGUUCUGUUUGGCUUCCGAUGUGGGAUACUAACAUAUGGACAUCCAACUUGGACUAAAAAAUAUGAGAUGCACUUGCAUGAAAAAUGAAAGUUAAAAAUAAAUAAAACUUCAAACAGUACUAAUAUUUGCUCACAUUAUAUGCAAAUUCUAGUCUAGUUCUUUCUUUUCUCAAGUGAACUUUAAAAACCAUCAAUUUUUCAUAAAUCUUACCAAAUGAACAAACAAAACUUAUGGGGUUUUCAUGUUUAUGAAAAAAAUACAAUUUAAAGAAAUCCAAAUUGAAUGUUCAAACAAGACUUCAACUUCAUAUUUUAAUUUUAAAUCAUUAUUUCAUAUCACGAGUCCUAAGAUUGAAACGAAACUAUCUUCAACCAUCUCCACAACAGUUUGCCACCACACUUCACAUUUGGUCACUGCUGCAACCUCCAACUAAUAUACUCCCUCCAUUUCAUGGUAGUUGUCAACUUUUUUGUUUACACGUCCCUUAAGAAAUCAUAAAAAUAAUAAGGAUAGUCUCACUAGUUAAUCUCUUAAAAAACUUUCUUGGAACUUGUUUACACUUUCAAAAAGAAUUAAUCGUAAGUGUACAACAUGGACGUUGUUCAACCUUCAAGGAAAUUAGGAGAUUGUAUGAUAUUUCCUAUCAUCUUGACUUCUUAAGCAUUUGAUGAUUUUUUUUCAACUUAUCAAUACAUGUCGUUGAGGAUUUCCCCCUCAAACUAUAUACAAGUGAUCAUUUUCUUGCAAAGCACCCAAAUCCUUCCAUUGGGAGCCAUCUGCCAUGAGAAUCUUGCUUCCUCUUUUGCCAAACUUUUUUUCUGCAUUCACUAAAUCUAAUUAGAUACUCUUAACAGUAAAAUCUAUAUAUGUUCUUAUAGCUUGACAAUGAAUUUAAUUGAUCCGUAGAAAGUAUUCGCGAAAUAUCAAUACUUAUGAUAUCAUAAUAUUUGCUUACCUGCUGUUGUUAGGAGACCUUCAACUGACUCAGGUAGAUGUAUUAGUUUUCCGGCAAUUCCGCCUUCAUUUGGUUUGUCAUGUGGAUGAUGUCCAUGUAUUAUAAUCCUAGUGGGAAAUGUGCCUGACACUCUACGAAUUCCUGCAGAAUUAGUCACAAAAUCCGUAAAAUUUAUGGAAAACUAAAAAGGAAAUAGAAGCAUUCUAUGAGUCAAAGACUAAAUCUUGAUUGGAACAGUUUUAGAUGAAGCAUAAUCUUACUGGUUCCUUCUUGUCUUAGUCCUUCAUGAUUUUGCUCCGUAUUCACAGAUACCUCCUGCAAGAUAUUGAAGCAAUCGUCAUAGAAAUUGUGUUUGCUUGGUGGUGAAAUGUGGAACACCAUUAUUCAUUCAACACAUAAUGAUGGUACAAGUGGAGAAGAGUUUGUAAGCCUUGACUGUGCUUCUUGCUUUGCUUCUGAUCGCUAUUAUAACGGAGUUCAUUUGCUAGAAUAUGAGAGGGGAUUAGAUUUUCUCAUCAACCUUUAGCUUUUAAGUUUGUUAACUGAAGGCAAUUUACACUUCAUUCUUUAUGAUUACUUGAGAUCUUUAGUCCUUGCAGGAGAGCAGAUUUGCUAAAAAUUUUGAAGAUACAAAAAUCUCAUGACAUGUUUAAGACCACAAUUCUUAAACUUCGUGCCUAGUCAAAUUAUGCCUCAAAUAUUGAAAUCGAGGGAGAAUAAAAAAUCAAUCCAUGUUUAAGUACUUGUUCAGUUUAAUGCCAUAGGUUUUUCUAGUUUAUGGCAGAGGAUUACCUCACUAUUCAGGUCACUGAGCAACUCUGAUAUGAGUGGUAUCUCUUGUAGCUCUUCCUUUUCGAUUCCUUUAAGAUGCUGAUUAUAUUAUGUAACAAGACCAUGGUGUUAGUAUGAUUAUAGAAAUAACUAAUAUGAGAGCUAAUCUAUGCGCGGCCAUCUAAAAUCUACUACAAUACCUGUAGAAAAUUGGAGAGGAUUAUUUUUCCAUCUGUGUUAAAGAGCUGCAACAGUUGCUUGAAAUGAUGAUGACUGAUUCGAACAACCUGAGAAAGUCUCUUACUUCUCACUGUGACAGGUUGAGGUGUAUUAAAGAUCACACCUAUUUCUCCAAACAAUUCCGGGGAUUCCAAUUUUGACAGGAACUGUUCAGCAGAAAGUAGAAACUUUUAAGGAAAGAACUCUCAGAUAAAUUGUGUUUUUUCACAUUAGAUUUUCAUACGAUAUAUGAUAAAAUCUUGGCUUAAUUGACUUAUGACUAGUACAAUGUAAGUAGACAUAGUUGUUUGGUUCCAUCUAACUCACUUUUCAGUUAAAUUUAUUGCUGGAAGAUGCUAUCUUUUACCAACAAAUGGUUACGUCACAUAGAUCAUUUUCAUAUGUUCAAGUUAAUACAAGGAUUGACAGCAUAUCUGCUCACAUAUAAAGCUCUUCCAUCAGUAAAAACGUCCAGACAUAAUUUUAACUUACUUAACAGUAGUUUCUUAUGACGUUUCUUGAUUUCUUCAGUAAUAUAUUUGAAUGAUAUUUCAGAUUGUUGGAUGCAGCUUAAAGGGUACAAUGAGAAAGUUACAUCCGACACUUUAUAGAAUACUCGAGAUCAGUAUGCACUGUGGACUUUUGGUCCUGUUAUCUCUGAUCAUUUGUUUUUUUCCCUCCUCUAUUUCAUUAUUUAAGUUUGGUCAUUUUGUUUACUUGGUCCUAGCAGAUAGGACAGCAUAGCAAAAUUAGAAUUAGCAUCAAAUAAUAUGAGAAGUGGGAUAACUAACCUGUUCUGUUCCAUUCUUGUAUGUUACUACUUCCUGCAGUUUUCAACCACGGAAGAGUUAACAGUGCAGGAAUAGUAAGAGCAAAAGUUAUUGACGUUCGGGAAAUGCACAUACCACAGCCCCGGAGACAAUAAUGUAGAAAUCUGUUGGUAUCUCAUUUUGAAUAACAAUGUCAACUUUUGGUGGAAAGUAUUCUGCUUUUAUCUCCGAAACCUGUAAGGUAAAAUGAGCAAAACAUAAUUUAGUUCUGUGGAGCAAAAGGACAUGAUAGUUUAAGUUAAUGGAUGAAAACAACAUGCAUAUAGAGUAGUAGGAAGGUAAGAGAACAUUACCAACUGGACUAAGAAGUCUUCGGAAACACCUUUGAAAAGAUACGUAUUUUGAAGGGUUGUAUGGAAAAGAUGCCGUGCAAUACUAGAUCUUAUUGCCUUAGGCAAGUCUUCUACUACUUCCUCUUGCUGUAGUUCUGCAGUCUUGAAUCUGAGUGUUGAAUGUGCCAGCAUUUGCUCUUUUAUGCCUUCUGGAAGUCUAUUCUUCCUUGCAUAUCGCAGUGUCUCAUUGAUUGCGUCCCUCUACAAUUAUAAACUAUCAUAUUGUAUCGUUCUAAACGUGCUUUCUUCACUAAGACUUGAACUAUAUAAUGCAUAAACUGUACUCAGUUUUCUAUAGGGAGAGUCAUUACCAUCGCGAAGGUUCGAGCAACACUAUGGACAACAAGAUUGGUCAUGUUGCCAAUUAAGUAAGCAGUUAGGCCAAUGUUGAAGAGCAUGUAGAAGAUGGCAAAAACCUUCUCCCCUGUAUUAUGUGCAUGAAGAUCUCCAUAGCCUACUGUGGUGAGGGUAACAACAGACCAAUACAUGGAAUAUGUGUAUCCAAGAGAGAUACUUCUUUCUUGGAAACUAGUAACAUUUGAUCCAAUCCAGGUAUUCUCUGCAGUAUGAUAAUGUGUUGCUAGCCAGUAAUAGAAACAACCAGCGGAGUGCACCGCGAAUAAGGUCACCUAUUGACAGAAUUAUAGCCAUAAGAUGAAUGCUUUGGUUGAAGUAAAAAACUUCUAUAUCCACAUGAUCAGGUAAAGCUAGCACAAUAUGGAUGGUUCAAAAAGUACUUACACAAACUAGUUUACAAAAUCUUGUCCAAAAGUAGCUGAAUCGAAUGUCCUUCUCUAGCCUGGAUCAAAGGAAGAGAUUAACAACAAUAUUGAGAUUGAGAAAUUUAUGCAACUUUGAGUAUUGUUAUCAUUAUUACCUUGAGAAGAAUUUACUAACACGACGCAGUCGCCAUAGUCUGAGCAAGUUAAGGAAGCCAAAAAUGUCUCCUUCUUGCUUUUUCCCAUUAAAGAAUUGGUAUAUUGGUUGAAAUGGUAUGGUUGAUGCAACAUCCAUUGGAAAUCCUAGAUGAGUCACAUACCUUUCAAAAGAAAUAUUAAGUGUAACCUUUCAUUGCCAUUCAAAAAACAAAAAUCCCAAUUGUAAUUUCAUCUUUGUUUUCUUUCAGGUGGCAUCUCAAGUAAGUAGUAUCCAACAUUUUCAAUCCUCCAUUUAACUUUCCUGAUCUGAGCAAUAUCCUUUCCAAUUUUAACUUAUAUACACUAAGAAUGUACUAUAUAGUGGUGGUUAGGCCGAUUAUUGUAUGGGGCAAAGUGUUGGCUAGUUAAGAGCUUUCAUGUUCAAGAUAACAUUGCGAAAUGAGGAUGCUGAGGUGGAAGUGUGGACAUACUAAGAGGAAUAAGAUUAGGAAUGAGGACAUUUGGGACAAGGUAGGAGUAGCCUCUGUGUGGAUAAGAUGAAUGAAGUAAGGUUGAGAUGGUUCGAGAAUGUGAAAUGGAGAUGUGAAGAGGCCCCAAUGAGAAGGUGUGAGAGGUUGGCGAUGCUGGUUUGAGGAGGGGUAGAGUUAGGCAAAAGAAGUCUUGGGGAGAGGUGAUUAGACAAGAUACGAUACAUCUAUAGAUUUAAUUUGGAUGUGCGAUAAAAUGUUAGUAGAUAGUUGAGCAUUGUCUCGCUUUUCCUGCAGGCUUAGACUUGGUGGUAGUUUGGUGCCCCAUACCAGUUAUACUUUGGUUAUCAUAACUUUGUAGUUGCUACUAUUUAUUUUUAUUGUAUGCUACGUGAUGCUUCCUCUAGUAUUUGUUAUAUCUCUUUUUUUUUAUGUUCUUAGAUUUGUGACUUAAGCGGUAAGCCAGAGGUCUUUCUUAAACAACUUCUCUUACCUCCGUGAGUUAAAAAUAAAGUUUGCAUACACUCUACUCUCGCCAUAUCCAUCUUUAGAAUUACACAUAUUAUAUAAGAGUACCUGAAAGCAAUUUUGUUGUGAUGAUCAAUGAGUAAAUAGGUGGUUUUGUCCAAGUAAGCAACAAAGAAAGUGAGAAGAAUGUCUAUGGCAAAGAAAGCAUCCACCAAUAAAUCCACAGGCAAAAGGCCUCCACUUGCUGCCUUCUUGAAUGCCAACUCAAAAGGAGAUGACCAUGCUGAGUACACCACCAAUAUCACCAGAAAUGUUUGCCAUAUUCUGUAAUUUUUCACCAUUAAGUAAUAUAUUUAGGAAAAAAAUUAAAGGAGAUGGUCAAAAGUGCCUAUUUUUUCAAUUUUAAAAAGCACUUAUUAUAGAAAAGGAAGGUGUUUGACCAAGGUUUUAAUGAAGAAAUACGUGUUUUUAAUUAGUCGGAUAAGCUGUUUUCAACUUUUAAUCCGAGAUGAAACGCGAUUUCUUUCAAAAUGACACUUAUUUCUAAUGAACACAAAUUAAUCAACUAUUCGUUAUUAUCUCAAUAAGUCAUCGAAAAUGACUUAUGAGAUAAUAACACUACUAUUUACAUAAUCAUUUGAGAAAUCAAAUCACAUGUUUGAGAAAAAAUGGAAGUAAUAAUUACUUAUUACCUGUAUCUACGAUCAUAAGGAGCAAUAACUAAUUUUUUAAGCUUUAGAGUGCCUUCACCCAUUACUGUACCAAAAGCUGGCAAUAGGCUACUUGAAACUGAAGCUAUGUUUCUUAUUUCUCCACUUGACUGCCCUCGCGGCGACGCCGGAGACCUUGUCACCGGCGAUCUUGUCGAUGACAUCUUGGUUAAAAAAAAGUUGGAGUUUUCUUGGUACUUAGUUUGUUGUUUAAGGGGUCGAUUCAUUACCCAUUUUAAUAUAUGGUUUACGUAGAGGAUAUUAUCAUAUUUUAUAUUAUAUGUCCUACUCUAACAAAUCAUUUUUAGCUAAUAGCUGGUUUUUUAAAAAUACAUAUAUAAACCUUGUACAUAUCUUAGGAACGUAGAGUUGAUGUUCUUGGAAGAGUUGAAUAAGUCUUAACAAUCUAGGAUUUAUCACUGUACACAUAUGAAGCAAUAAGUACACGCAAUUAAGGUAAAAUGGUAAGUUUAAAGUCAAAACGAGUAGUCAACACUAAAAAAGUUUAAUUUUUUAAAAUACUGAAAAUAAAAAACUGUAUAAAAAUAAAACAGUAUUAAUAGCAGCAUAUUCAUUUGACCCAUAAAGAAACCCCUUUUCAGCUCUCUUCAUAUCUUGAAGAAUCUACAUAUUAUGGUUCCAAAAAUUAAUAAAAGCCCCUCCUCACAAACACAUAAGUCAAAAGGAGUUUGAGGAGAGGGAGUUGGACCCCAAACUAAUAAAAAUGGAAGUCCAUUCUGUAUCUCUUUAUAUACAAAGAUGGAAAAAAAAACCCGAACAUACGAAAGUCAACCACAAAUCCAGUAACUCUUCAACUUCAUAGCUUCAAGCAACUUCAAAUAUGUUGACACAUAAACAUGUUGUUCAUGCUUUGAUCAAGAGACUUAAAUGCUGACACAGUAAUGUGUGAUGUCAGACGGAACGUUAACUGACUGCAUGCACAUUGGGCAAGCUGGAUGAGAAAUCUGAAACCAGAACGAUGAGCAAUGCUAGAUCCCAAAUGUGAAACCCGGGCACACACUUCUGAACUGAUUGUGCCACUGAGUACGCUAUGUUGCCAAUAUGAAACAAAGCAACCAGCAAAUCUUUGAUGAUGGCAAUGCAUUGUGCUGCAGGAACAAAAAUUCUGCUACUAAGCAACCACCACCUCAAACGAACUUAACACCCUAGAAACGAGACUACAUGUACUGAGCGAGCCAUUGCUUGCACAUAUCAAGAACUGGAUGUGCAUUAGCAUGUAAUGCCUGCAUUAAGAGUCAAAGGCAGAAAGAGAAAUCAGUAAACAAGUGGUAAAGUUAGUAACCCCC
RNAcentral lists this long non-coding RNA (39715 nucleotides) under Solanum tuberosum (potato). Its description in RNAcentral is "long non-coding RNA (STUB_LNC008358)". The record is from RNAcentral. Lineage: Eukaryota; Viridiplantae; Streptophyta; Magnoliopsida; Solanales; Solanaceae.